Molecule: ribosomal RNA, 115 nt
Filed under: Duganella sp. sic0402
Lineage: Bacteria; Pseudomonadati; Pseudomonadota; Betaproteobacteria; Burkholderiales; Oxalobacteraceae
Description: partial 16S ribosomal RNA
Rfam family: Bacterial small subunit ribosomal RNA
Source: RNAcentral
AAACUAAAGAGUUUGAUCCUGGCUCAGAUUGAACGCUGGCGGCAUGCCUUACACAUGCAAGUCGAACGGCAGCACGGAGCUUGCUCUGGUGGCGAGUGGCGAACGGGUGAGUAAU